GCUAGAACUGACUGGGUUCAGCAUUCCGGCUAACUGUGACUGCAAUAGAGGUGUGUUCGCCAUUGUAUCCUCUGCAACAUAGUGACAGCUGAAGCACAUAGAACUGUUUUCCUACAUCUCCUGCCGAUGGAGGAGCGUGCACCGGGUGUAGCACAAAGCGGACAUUGGGGCUUGGUGAUUAGCAUCAGCCCGAGGAGAGGGUACACCCCAUCUCAGGUGUGACUUCGGCCAACUUCUAAACCCAUACACAGGUUAAAGUUCAUAGGGACAGACAGACAACUUUGCCUUUUCUUAAAGCGCUCCAUCCACUGAAGGAACGAGCAGCAUUUGCAUCCCUUGGGAAAGAACUUCCGGAGUAAGGCAGAGAGAAAACAAACCUUCCAUCGUCGUCCCCUGGACGAAGGGGAACAAAAUGCUACCUAAUCUCUGAGAACAGAGCAAAGAUAAUGGGGGCUGAUUUUUUUUUUUUCUUUUUCCUCAUGUAUAUGGGGAACAUCACGAUUAGGCAGAAUAAUGUUCUGUUUUUUGUUUUUUGUUUUUUUUUAUUAAAAGCAGACCUUUUGUAGGAAAGCAAUCACUGGUAUCGAGAUACAAAGAAGUCAGCUCUGGGAGUGGUAGCAGCAGCAGGAUCAGGGCGUGAAGUGAGAGAGAGAGAGAGAGAUCUUGUGGGUUCACGUCGGUCAGACGGGACCUUAGAGCGGAUGCCCAAGCCACUGACAGGAGUAAGUGGUACUGAACUAAAUCUCGUGUGUAGCACGCAGAUCAGAUGGAUGGAAGUUUUUCUCUUGUUGAAUUUCACUCAUUCUUCUUUCACGAAUGAAUGAUUCCGAGGCCUCUGCCACACUCCGGGAAAACUUGUGUGACUGCCUUUUUUUAAAAGUGUGUGUCUGGUCACUUAUUUCUCUAAAACUAUCUCCUUGUCUGGCAAUCAGUCGGCCUUCUCUUGUAUACUUGUCCUAGCACAUUAUGUACGUGGGAAAUGUCAACAGACGUGAAGGAGACCAGAAAAAUUGGUGAAUAUUGAAAAAUGUGCGUUUGGGCUUCACAUGUUUAACUUUUUUUUUUUUUUAAAGAAAAAAAGUUGCAUGAAUGAAAAAAAACAACAACCUCUGUAUACAGUAUCUGUAAAAAAAAAAAAAAAAUGGCCUGUUUUGAUUUCUUGCUUCUACGCCACACGAACUAGAAUUCAAUGUGGCGCGUAGCAAACACUACCAUGCUGCAUUCUGGGUACCGAGGACCUUGUCUAACCGUACGUUGCCAUGAAUUAGCCCUGCCGCCUUUCUUCUCAAGGAUCAAAACCAGUUUGAUUUGGGAAUGCGCCCCUCCCAGUGGAAUUGGAGGUGCGUCCUUCCCGUGUCGUUUGUAGAUAUUGCCUGUGUAUUCCAUUUAAAACCAUAAUCUAGUUUGUAAAAGAGAGGAUGCCGCAUGUAAAUAAAGCUUUGACGACACUCUGUCGUG
This is a long non-coding RNA of Rattus rattus (black rat), 1458 nucleotides long. RefSeq lists it as uncharacterized. The record is from RefSeq and is a predicted model, not a curated record. NCBI's taxonomy places the organism in Eukaryota, Metazoa, Chordata, Mammalia, Rodentia, Muridae. The transcript has 2 exons.